CGUUGUAGCUCAGUUGGUAGAGCAACUGAUUCGUAAUCAGUAGGUCGGAGGUUCGACUCCUCUCGCCGG
RNAcentral lists this transfer RNA (69 nucleotides) under marine eukaryotic metagenome. It matches the Rfam family "tRNA". From Rfam's summary of the family: Transfer RNA (tRNA) molecules are approximately 80 nucleotides in length. Their secondary structure includes four short double-helical elements and three loops (D, anti-codon, and T loops). The record is from RNAcentral.